GAAGUAUCUCAUCCAGUCGCUGUCCCUAACAGGACGGAGGAAAGUCCGGGCUCCGCAGGGCAGGGUGCAGGAGAAACUCCUGUGGGUGCGAACCCAAGGAAAGUGCCACAGAAAAUAUACCGCCGGGAGCAAUCCCGGUAAGGGUGAAAAGGCGAGGCAAGGGCUCACCGGACGCGCGGCGACGCGCGUGCCUGGCAAACCCCACCCGGAGCAAGGUCGAAUAGGGGAGGAUGAGGCUGCCCGCUGACUCCCGGGUACGACCGCUGAGAUAAAUGACUGGACACGACAGAACCCGGCUUACGAGGUGCUUCCGCU
Molecule: RNase P RNA, 315 nt
Filed under: Synergistaceae bacterium
Lineage: Bacteria; Thermotogati; Synergistota; Synergistia; Synergistales; Synergistaceae
Description: RNase P RNA component class A
Rfam family: Bacterial RNase P class A
About the family: Ribonuclease P (RNase P) is a ubiquitous endoribonuclease, found in archaea, bacteria and eukarya as well as chloroplasts and mitochondria. Its best characterised activity is the generation of mature 5'-ends of tRNAs by cleaving the 5'-leader elements of precursor-tRNAs.
Source: RNAcentral